CGGCGGACGGGUGAGUAACACGUGGGUAACCUACCUAUGAGACUGGGAUAACUUCGGGAAACCGGAGCUAAUACCGGAUAAUAUUUCGAACCGCAUGGUUCGAUAGUGAAAGAUGGCUUUGCUAUCACUUAUAGAUGGACCUGCGCCGUAUUAGCUAGUUGGUAAGGUAACGGCUUACCAAGGCAACGAUACGUAGCCGACCUGAGAGGGUGAUCGGCCACACUGGAACUGAAACACGGUCCAG
Molecule: ribosomal RNA, 244 nt
Filed under: uncultured Staphylococcus sp.
Lineage: Bacteria; Bacillati; Bacillota; Bacilli; Caryophanales; Staphylococcaceae
Description: partial 16S ribosomal RNA
Rfam family: Bacterial small subunit ribosomal RNA
Source: RNAcentral